GAUGAACGCUGGCGGCGUGCCUAAUACAUGCAAGUCGAGCGAACAGACGAGGAGCUUGCUCCUUUGACGUUAGCGGCGGACGGGUGAGUAACACGUAGGUAACCUACCUAUAAGACUGGGAUAACUUCGGGAAACCGGAGCUAAUACCGGAUAAUAUUUCGAACCGCAUGGUUCGAUAGUGAAAGAUGGCUUUGCUAUCACUUAUAGAUGGACCUGCGCCGUAUUAGCUAGUUGGUAAGGUAACGGCUUACCAAGGCAACGAUACGUAGCCGACCUGAGAGGGUGAUCGGCCACACUGGAACUGAGACACGGUCCAGACUCCUACGGGAGGCAGCAGUAGGGAAUCUUCCGCAAUGGGCGAAAGCCUGACGGAGCAACGCCGCGUGAGUGAUGAAGGUCUUCGGAUCGUAAAACUCUGUUAUUAGGGAAGGACAAACGUGUAAGUAACUGUGCACGUCUUGACGGUACCUAAUCAGAAAGCCACGGCUAACUACGUG
RNAcentral lists this ribosomal RNA (497 nucleotides) under uncultured bacterium. RNAcentral's name for it is "partial 16S ribosomal RNA". It matches the Rfam family "Bacterial small subunit ribosomal RNA", at positions 28 to 507 of the family's 1533-position model. The record is from RNAcentral.